AUUUGUAAUAUCUAUUCCUUCCUUUAGGUUUACAAAGACUGUACGAGCGCUAUUUCCGAACACUGUAUGAGCACUAUUUCCCAACACUUUUUAAGUCCAGAUUACAAAGACAGGACGAGCGCUGUUCAUUCAGUACUUACUAUAGAAUUUACAGGGCCCUGUCUGAGAGACACCCUCUGAGUGACAGUAACAAGACUUACACAGGGUGGGGAGUCACCUUCACUUAUACUG
Long non-coding RNA from Xenopus tropicalis (tropical clawed frog), 231 nucleotides. RefSeq lists it as uncharacterized. The record is from RefSeq and is a predicted model, not a curated record. The transcript has 5 exons. NCBI's taxonomy places the organism in Eukaryota, Metazoa, Chordata, Amphibia, Anura, Pipidae.